CCCUUAGAUGUUCUGGGCCGCACGCGCGCUACACUGAAGGGAUCAAAACGUUUUCCCUCUCCGAGAGGAGCGGGUAACCUUUCGAACCCCCUUCGUGGUAGGGAUCGGGGCUUGCAAUUAUUCCCCGUGAACCAGGAAUUCCCAGUAAGCGUCAGUCAUAAGCUGGCGUUGAUUACGUCCCUGCCCUUUGUACACACCGCCCGUCGCUCCUACCGAUUGAGUGGUCCGGUGAGGCUUUGGGAUCUGAGCGGAAAGAGCGUUUCGCUGUUUCUGCUCGGAAAACUCAGUCGAACCUUAUCAUUUAGAGGAAGGAGAAGUCGUAACA
This 325-nucleotide ribosomal RNA is filed under the name uncultured eukaryote. RNAcentral's name for it is "partial 18S ribosomal RNA". It matches the Rfam family "Eukaryotic small subunit ribosomal RNA", at positions 1470 to 1796 of the family's 1831-position model. The record is from RNAcentral.